GGCGAGUGAAGCGGCAACAGCUCAAAUUUGAAAUCUGGCGUCUUCGGCGUCCGAGUUGUAAUUUGCAGAGGGCGCUUUGGCAUUGGCAGCGGUCCAAGUUCCUUGGAACAGGACGUCACAGAGGGUGAGAAUCCCGUACGUGGUCGCUAGCCUUUACCGUGUAAAGCCCCUUCGACGAGUCGAGUUGUUUGGGAAUGCAGCUCUAAAUGGGAGGUAAAUUUCUUCUAAAGCUAAAUACUGGCCAGAGACCGAUAGCGCACAAGUAGAGUGAUCGAAAGAUGAAAAGCACUUUGGAAAGAGAGUUAAAAAGCACGUGAAAUUGUUGAAAGGGAAGCGCUUGCAGCCAGACUUGCCUGUAGUUGCUCAUCCGGGUUUUUACCCGGUGCACUCUUCUAUAGGCAGGCCAGCAUCAGUUUGGGCGGUUGGAUAAAGGUCUCUGUCAUGUACCUCCUUUCGGGGAGAUCUUAUAGGGGAGACGACAUGCAACCAGCCUGGACUGAGGUCCGCGCAUCUGCUAGGAUGCUGGCGUAAUGGCUGUAAGCGGCCCGUCUUGAAACACGGACCAAGGAGUCUAACAUCUAUGCGAGUGUUUGGGUGUCAAGCCCGAACGCGUAAUGAAAGUGAACGGAGGUGGGAACCUUUCGGGGUGCACCAUCGACCGAUCCUGAUGUCUUCGGAUGGAUUUGAGUAAGAGCAUAGCUGUUGGGACCCGAAAGAUGGUGAACUAUGCUUGAAUAGGGUGAAGCCAGAGGAAACUCUGGUGGAGGCUCGCAGCGGUUCUGACGUGCAAAUCGAUCGUCAAAUUUGGGCAU
RNAcentral lists this ribosomal RNA (812 nucleotides) under Stagonosporopsis heliopsidis. RNAcentral describes it as "eukaryotic LSU rRNA". It matches the Rfam family "Eukaryotic large subunit ribosomal RNA", at positions 88 to 918 of the family's 3401-position model. Lineage: Eukaryota; Fungi; Ascomycota; Dothideomycetes; Pleosporales; Didymellaceae. The record is from RNAcentral.